RNAcentral lists this ribosomal RNA (301 nucleotides) under uncultured bacterium. RNAcentral describes it as "partial 16S ribosomal RNA". It matches the Rfam family "Bacterial small subunit ribosomal RNA", at positions 509 to 807 of the family's 1533-position model. The record is from RNAcentral.
CAGUAGCCGCGGUAAUACGAAGGGUGCAAGCGUUACUCGGAAUUACUGGGCGUAAAGCGUGCGUAGGUGGUGGUUUAAGUCCGUUGUGAAAGCCCUGGGCUCAACCUGGGAAUUGCAGUGGAUACUGGGUCGCUAGAGUGUGGUAGAGGAUAGUGGAAUUUCCGGUGUAGCAGUGAAAUGCGUAGAGAUCGGAAGGAACAUCUGUGGCGAAGGCGACUAUCUGGGCCAACACUGACACUGAGGCACGAAAGCGUGGGGAGCAAACAGGAUUAGAUACCCGUGUAGUCCCUGUCUCUUAUAC